AAUUCAUGGUGAGGGCAUUUCCAAAGCAAAUCAUUUAGUCUCUCCCACACCUCAUAGAAUGGUUCACCAUCAUUUUGAGAAAAUGCCAUUAUUGCUUUCCUAAUUU
Molecule: small nucleolar RNA, 106 nt
Organism: Cornus florida
Lineage: Eukaryota; Viridiplantae; Streptophyta; Magnoliopsida; Cornales; Cornaceae
Source: RefSeq, a predicted model, not a curated record